GGGCCUAUAGCUCAGCUGGUUAGAGCACUUGACUCAUAAUCAAGGGGUCCCUGGUUCGAGCCCAGGUGGGCCCACUA
This 77-nucleotide transfer RNA is filed under the name Echinicola strongylocentroti. Its description in RNAcentral is "tRNA-Met". It matches the Rfam family "tRNA". Rfam says of the family: Transfer RNA (tRNA) molecules are approximately 80 nucleotides in length. Lineage: Bacteria; Pseudomonadati; Bacteroidota; Cytophagia; Cytophagales; Cyclobacteriaceae. The record is from RNAcentral.